UACGGAGGGGGCUAGCGUUGUUCGGAAUUACUGGGCGUAAAGCGCACGUAGGCGGCUUUGCAAGUUAGAGGUGAAAGCCCGGGGCUCAACUCCGGAAUUGCCUUUAAAACUGCAUCGCUAGAAUUGUGGAGAGGUAAGUGGAAUUCCGAGUGUAGAGGUGAAAUUCGUAGAUAUUCGGAAGAACACCAGUGGUGAAGGCGACUUACUGGACACAUAUUGACGCUGAGGUGCGAAAGCGUGGGGAGCAAACAGG
This 253-nucleotide ribosomal RNA is filed under the name uncultured bacterium. Its description in RNAcentral is "partial 16S ribosomal RNA". It matches the Rfam family "Bacterial small subunit ribosomal RNA", at positions 524 to 776 of the family's 1533-position model. The record is from RNAcentral.